GGUUAAGCGACUAAGCGUACACGGUGGAUGCCCUGGCAGUCAGAGGCGAUGAAGGACGUGCUAAUCUGCGAUAAGCGUCGGUAAGGUGAUAUGAACCGUUAUAACCGGCGAUUUCCGAAUGGGGAAACCCAGUGUGAUUCGUCACACUAUCAUUAACUGAAUCCAUAGGUUAAUGAGGCGAACCGGGGGAACUGAAACAUCUAAGUACCCCGAGGAAAAGAAAUCAACCGAGAUUCCCCCAGUAGCGGCGAGCGAACGGGGAGCAGCCCAGAGCCUGAAUCAGUGUGUGUGUUAGUGGAAGCGUCUGGAAAGGCGCGCGAUACAGGGUGACAGCCCCGUACACAAAAAUGCACAUACUGUGAGCUCGAUGAGUAGGGCGGGACACGUGGUAUCCUGUCUGAAUAUGGGGGGACCAUCCUCCAAGGCUAAAUACUCCUGACUGACCGAUAGUGAACCAGUACCGUGAGGGAAAGGCGAAAAGAACCCCGGCGAGGGGAGUGAAAAAGAACCUGAAACCGUGUACGUACAAGCAGUGGGAGCCUCUUUUAUGGGGUGACUGCGUACCUUUUGUAUAAUGGGUCAGCGACUUAUAUUCUGUAGCAAGGUUAACCGAAUAGGGGAGCCGAAGGGAAACCGAGUCUUAACUGGGCGUUAAGUUGCAGGGUAUAGACCCGAAACCCGGUGAUCUAGCCAUGGGCAGGUUGAAGGUUGGGUAACACUAACUGGAGGACCGAACCGACUAAUGUUGAAAAAUUAGCGGAUGACUUGUGGCUGGGGGUGAAAGGCCAAUCAAACCGGGAGAUAGCUGGUUCUCCCCGAAAGCUAUUUAGGUAGCGCCUCGUGAAUUCAUCUCCGGGGGUAGAGCACUGUUUCGGCAAGGGGGUCAUCCCGACUUACCAACCCGAUGCAAACUGCGAAUACCGGAGAAUGUUAUCACGGGAGACACACGGCGGGUGCUAACGUCCGUCGUGAAGAGGGAAACAACCCAGACCGCCAGCUAAGGUCCCAAAGUCAUGGUUAAGUGGGAAACGAUGUGGGAAGGCCCAGACAGCCAGGAUGUUGGCUUAGAAGCAGCCAUCAUUUAAAGAAAGCGUAAUAGCUCACUGGUCGAGUCGGCCUGCGCGGAAGAUGUAACGGGGCUAAACCAUGCACCGAAGCUGCGGCAGCGACGCUUAUGCGUUGUUGGGUAGGGGAGCGUUCUGUAAGCCUGUGAAGGUGUACUGUGAGGUAUGCUGGAGGUAUCAGAAGUGCGAAUGCUGACAUAAGUAACGAUAAAGCGGGUGAAAAGCCCGCUCGCCGGAAGACCAAGGGUUCCUGUCCAACGUUAAUCGGGGCAGGGUGAGUCGACCCCUAAGGCGAGGCCGAAAGGCGUAGUCGAUGGGAAACAGGUUAAUAUUCCUGUACUUGGUGUUACUGCGAAGGGGGACGGAGAAGGCUAUGUUGGCCGGGCGACGGUUGUCCCGGUUUAAGCGUGUAGGCUGGUUUUCCAGGCAAAUCCGGAAAACUAAGGCUGAGGCGUGAUGACGAGGCACUACGGUGCUGAAGCAACAAAUGCCCUGCUUCCAGGAAAAGCCUCUAAGCAUCAGGUAACAUCAAAUCGUACCCCAAACCGACACAGGUGGUCAGGUAGAGAAUACCAAGGCGCUUGAGAGAACUCGGGUGAAGGAACUAGGCAAAAUGGUGCCGUAACUUCGGGAGAAGGCACGCUGAUAUGUAGGUGAAGUCCCUCGCGGAUGGAGCUGAAAUCAGUCGAAGAUACCAGCUGGCUGCAACUGUUUAUUAAAAACACAGCACUGUGCAAACACGAAAGUGGACGUAUACGGUGUGACGCCUGCCCGGUGCCGGAAGGUUAAUUGAUGGGGUUAGCGCAAGCGAAGCUCUUGAUCGAAGCCCCGGUAAACGGCGGCCGUAACUAUAACGGUCCUAAGGUAGCGAAAUUCCUUGUCGGGUAAGUUCCGACCUGCACGAAUGGCGUAAUGAUGGCCAGGCUGUCUCCACCCGAGACUCAGUGAAAUUGAACUCGCUGUGAAGAUGCAGUGUACCCGCGGCAAGACGGAAAGACCCCGUGAACCUUUACUAUAGCUUGACACUGAACAUUGAGCCUUGAUGUGUAGGAUAGGUGGGAGGCUUUGAAGUGUGGACGCCAGUCUGCAUGGAGCCGACCUUGAAAUACCACCCUUUAAUGUUUGAUGUUCUAACGUUGACCCGUGAUCCGGGUUGCGGACAGUGUCUGGUGGGUAGUUUGACUGGGGCGGUCUCCUCCUAAAGAGUAACGGAGGAGCACGAAGGUUGGCUAAUCCUGGUCGGACAUCAGGAGGUUAGUGCAAUGGCAUAAGCCAGCUUGACUGCGAGCGUGACGGCGCGAGCAGGUGCGAAAGCAGGUCAUAGUGAUCCGGUGGUUCUGAAUGGAAGGGCCAUCGCUCAACGGAUAAAAGGUACUCCGGGGAUAACAGGCUGAUACCGCCCAAGAGUUCAUAUCGACGGCGGUGUUUGGCACCUCGAUGUCGGCUCAUCACAUCCUGGGGCUGAAGUAGGUCCCAAGGGUAUGGCUGUUCGCCAUUUAAAGUGGUACGCGAGCUGGGUUUAGAACGUCGUGAGACAGUUCGGUCCCUAUCUGCCGUGGGCGCUGGAGAACUGAGGGGGCUGCUCCUAGUACGAGAGGACCGGAGUGGACGCAUCACUGGUGUUCGGGUUGUCAUGCCAAUGGCACUGCCCGGUAGCUAAAUGCGGAAGAGAUAAGUGCUGAAAGCAUCUAAGCACGAAACUUGCCCCGAGAUGAGUUCUCCCUGACUCCUUGAGAGUCCUGAAGGAACGUUGAAGACGACGACGUUGAUAGGCCGGGUGUGUAAGCGCAGCGAUGCGUUGAGCUAACCGGUACUAAUGAACCGUGAGGCUUAACCUU
This 2902-nucleotide ribosomal RNA is filed under the name Escherichia coli. Its description in RNAcentral is "23S ribosomal RNA". It matches the Rfam family "Bacterial large subunit ribosomal RNA". Lineage: Bacteria; Pseudomonadati; Pseudomonadota; Gammaproteobacteria; Enterobacterales; Enterobacteriaceae. The record is from RNAcentral.